Molecule: transfer RNA, 73 nt
Filed under: Escherichia coli
Lineage: Bacteria; Pseudomonadati; Pseudomonadota; Gammaproteobacteria; Enterobacterales; Enterobacteriaceae
Description: tRNA-Gly
Rfam family: tRNA
About the family: Transfer RNA (tRNA) molecules are approximately 80 nucleotides in length.
Source: RNAcentral
GCGGGCGUAGUUCAAUGGUAGAACGAGAGCUUCCCAAGCUCUAUACGAGGGUCGAUUCCCUUCGCCCGCUCCA